Molecule: unclassified non-coding RNA, 571 nt
Organism: Copidosoma floridanum
Lineage: Eukaryota; Metazoa; Arthropoda; Insecta; Hymenoptera; Encyrtidae
Source: RefSeq, a predicted model, not a curated record
CACGCGUGCUACUAUGACUCCGCGAUGGUCGGCUUCUCUCUAACCUACGUGUAAUUUUCUUCAAUGUAAUGGAAAACUAUGUAUGGUUUUUUAACAGUUAAUUUUUUCCAGGCAGACUUUUUAUUCUAAAUGUUUGAGCAUUUCGCGCUGGUUCGCAAAGUGUCGGCUUUAUAAUUCUAAUGUAUAUAGUCUGAGUAAUAAUUGUGAUACUUAUUUUUGGAGUUGCACCGUCAGCAUUUCGGAGCAGGUAUCUAGUGACGUUUCAAGGUCACGCAGCAAAGUUUUGUGUUAUCUUUUGGGCAAACACGUGUGUGGGCACGUAAGUCGUUUAUUUUGACACAUCCGCCAUCAACUACAUUCCGAAAUCGGAAGGCACGCAAUCGUUUGUAUACAAAAAUCCUGAGCUUACGUAAAGUCAUUGCUUUUGGCUGAUUGCCAAGGUCGACAAACAAAGAGUCACAACCGAUGCAAAGAAAAAAAAAACUAGUUGAUUUUUAGAAUGUAUUGUGCUACAUAAAGUCCGUUAAGUUCUUGCGAGUGAAUUUGCAGUCUCAAAAUAGACAUUCAUCUG